UAAUAAUAACAACAAGAACAACAAUACUAAUAGUAAUAGUACCACUACUGCUACUACUACUAAUAAUAAUAAUAAUACUGUUAAAAAUAUCCACUUCGCAACCAAAAACAAAUACAGAAAUGACAAAAGUCAAGACAUCAGCCACGUCCCACCUCUAUUCUGUAUACCCAGAGUAAAUUCUGAUAUUAUUUGGGCUCUUUCAUGUUUUUGUUUUCUGUUCAACAGGCUUUGUUUCUUCUUUCCCAAUUCACAUACAGAAAAGAAGAACAAUGUUAAACUAAUGCUUUUUCCAACACUUGCUAUCCCACACAAUACAGUGGUUUACACAGGAAAGAACCCCAUCACAGAAAGUCAUGGACAGGAGCGAUAUGUCCUUGAAGUGAUGAUGUGGAUCAACAUGUGUGUCUGCCUCCCUUUGACUAUACUGAUCAUCUACUGUGUGUCUUAUUUGGUGCAGAAGAGUCAGGUCUCUAGCAUCUAUUACACAAAUCUCCUCAUCACCAAUCUAAUCCACAUCUGCAUAAUGACCAUUUGGGUGACAAGAGUGGAAAGCAUCAUCACCGUCAUUAUUUAUUACUGUGUUAUGAUGGCCAACCUUUACUUCAGGAUGUGCAUUGCUCUGGAAAGGUAUUUUUCCAUCACACACCCACUGCUGGACUGUCUCAAAAACACUAAGAGUUCAGUGGUGGUCUGUGUUCUGGUCUGGGCUUUUUGUUUUGUCAGUGUUCCUCUUGCCAUAGUCUUAAAUACAUUUCAACAUUUAAUUAUUUAUGUCAUUAUCCCUGCUCCUGUGUUCUUCUUCUGCUUAGCUCAGACCUGCAGAGCCCUCCCUGCUGCCACCUCAAUGUCCAUUGAGGAAAAACAAAGAAGUCUAGGAACUCUGACUCUGUUGUUCUUAAACUAUGUUGUAAUAAUCCUUCCCACAAUUGCCUGUCAUGUU
Molecule: long non-coding RNA, 940 nt
Organism: Oreochromis niloticus (Nile tilapia)
Lineage: Eukaryota; Metazoa; Chordata; Actinopteri; Cichliformes; Cichlidae
Exons: 3
Source: RefSeq, a predicted model, not a curated record